Molecule: ribosomal RNA, 403 nt
Filed under: uncultured bacterium
Lineage: Bacteria
Description: partial 16S ribosomal RNA
Rfam family: Bacterial small subunit ribosomal RNA
Source: RNAcentral
AUUGAACGCUGGCGGAAGGCCUAACACAUGCAAGUCGAGCGAGCGUCGGACGGGUGAGUAAUGUAUGGGGACUGCCCGAUAGAGGGGGAUAACUCCUUGAAACGGUGGAUAAUACCGCAUACUAUCGGAUAACCCAUAUGGGAUUAGCUAGUAGGUGGGGUAAAGGCUCACCUAGGCGACGAUCUCUAGCUGUGCUGAUAGGAUGAUCAGCCACACUGGGACGAAGACACGGACCACACUCCUACGGAGGCAGCAGUGGGGAAUAUUUCACAAUGGGCGCAAGCCUGAGGCAGCCAUGCCGCGUGUAUGAAGAAGGACUUAGGGUUGUAAAGUACUUUCAGCGGGGAGGCGUUACACGCAGAAGAAGCACCGGCUAACUCCGUGCCAGCAGCCGCGGUAAUUC